RNAcentral lists this ribosomal RNA (472 nucleotides) under uncultured bacterium. RNAcentral describes it as "bacterial SSU rRNA". It matches the Rfam family "Bacterial small subunit ribosomal RNA", at positions 328 to 793 of the family's 1533-position model. The record is from RNAcentral.
CUCGAUCACUCCUACGGGAGGCAGCAGUGGGGAAUAUUGCACAAUGGGGGAAACCCUGAUGCAGCCAUGCCGCGUGUGUGAAGAAGGCCUUCGGGUUGUAAAGCACUUUCAGUAGGGAGGAAGGUAGUGUAGUUAACACCUGCACUAUUUGACGUUACCUACAGAAGAAGCACCGGCUAACUCCGUGCCAGCAGCCGCGGUAAUACGGAGGGUGCGAGCGUUAAUCGGAAUUACUGGGCGUAAAGCGCAUGCAGGCGGCCUGUUAAGUCAGAUGUGAAAGCCCGGGGCUUAACCUCGGAAUUGCAUUUGAAACUGGCAGGCUAGAGUCUUGUAGAGGGGGUAGAAUUUCAGGUGUAGCGGUGAAAUGCGUAGAGAUCUGAAGGAAUACCAGUGGCGAAGGCGGCCCCCUGGACAAAGACUGACGCUCAGAUGCGAAAGCGUGGGGAGCAAACAGGAUUAGAUACCCUGGUAG